UCCUGUCUGGGAUUUGGUUAGAGAGU
Molecule: non-coding RNA, 26 nt
Filed under: Homo sapiens (human)
Lineage: Eukaryota; Metazoa; Chordata; Mammalia; Primates; Hominidae
Source: RNAcentral